RNAcentral lists this long non-coding RNA (550 nucleotides) under Eucalyptus grandis. RNAcentral's name for it is "long non-coding RNA (EGRA_LNC005649)". The record is from RNAcentral. Lineage: Eukaryota; Viridiplantae; Streptophyta; Magnoliopsida; Myrtales; Myrtaceae.
UGAACAAUCCAGCAGAUUCCAAGCCAUUUUUCUUAUGAUUUUACCCCCACUCCCUGUUUUCUGCGUCUAUUUGCAGUGAACACAUAUCUUUUGCAUGACUUUGAUAGGUCUAAUGCAACUGGAGAGGUAGCCAAUCAAGAUGUCCACCUUCACUGGAGAGGUAGCCAAUCAAGAUGUCCACCUUCCUUGGAUUCGGCCAAAAGUUCCUGGCCGAUUCUAUUUUUGUUUCGGAAAACCAAUAGAAACAGCAGGUAAUGCCAUUGCUGCAACCUACAAUUUCCACAGAAGUAUUAUACAGUGAUUCUGGGAAUUAGCUUCUCACAUUAGAACCCAUCAUCUCCUAAGAAGUCAUAUACGUGACUGGAUAUGAAGCCUCCAUUAAAUCAAUCCAUGCCUUUGAAUUAUCCUGUCUUGCUUCAAUUUAUUAUUUUUCCAUCGCACAACUUACAUGCACAAGCUUGAUUUCUAGUGGUCUUUCCUUUAUUUGUAUAAGAUGGAUAGUGGUCAAUUCACUGAACCUUGUACGACAGAUGCAGAAUUUGUACACUCG